UCCUGCCGGACCUGACUGCUACCGGAUUGAUACUAAGCCAUGCGAGUCAUUGUAGCAAUACAAGGCAUACGGCUCAGUAACGCGUAGUCAACCUAACCUAUGGACGGGAAUAACCUCGGGAAACUGAGAAUAAUGCCCGAUAGAACAUUAUACCUGGAAUGGUUUAUGUUCCAAAUGAUUUAUCGCCAUAGGAUGGGACUGCGGCCUAUCAGUUUGUUGGUGAGGUAAUGGCCCACCAAGACUGUUACAGGUACGGGCUCUGAGAGGAGUAGCCCGGAGAUGGGUACUGAGACACGGACCCAGGCCCUAUGGGGCGCAGCAGGCGAGAAAACUUUGCAAUGUGCGAAAGCACGACAAGGUUAAUCCGAGUGGUUUCUGCUAGAGGAACCUUUUGUUAGUCCUAAAAACACUAACGAAUAAGGGGUGGGCAAGUUCUGGUGUCAGCCGCCGCGGUAAAACCAGCACCUCAAGUGGUCAGGAUGAUUAUUGGGCCUAAAGCAUCCGUAGCCUGCUCUGUAAGUUUUCGGUUAAAUCUGUAUGCUCAACAUACAGGCCGCCGGAAAUACUGCAGGGCUAGGGAGUGGGAGAGGUAGACGGUACUCGGGAGGAAGUGGUAAAAUGCUUUGAUCUCUCGAUGACCACCUGUGGCGAAGGCGGUCUACCAGAACACGUCCGACGGUGAGGGAUGAAAGCUGGGGGAGCAAACCGGAUUAGAUACCCGGGUAGUCCCAGCCGUAAACUAUGCAAACUCAGUGAUGCAUUGGCUUGUGGCCAAUGCAGUGUUGCAGGGAAGCCGUUAAGUUUGCCGCCUGGGAAGUACGUACGCAAGUAUGAAACUU
RNAcentral lists this ribosomal RNA (839 nucleotides) under uncultured marine group I thaumarchaeote. RNAcentral's name for it is "SSU rRNA". It matches the Rfam family "Archaeal small subunit ribosomal RNA", at positions 12 to 857 of the family's 1478-position model. Lineage: Archaea; Thermoproteati; Nitrososphaerota. The record is from RNAcentral.